This 497-nucleotide ribosomal RNA is filed under the name uncultured bacterium. RNAcentral's name for it is "partial 16S ribosomal RNA". It matches the Rfam family "Bacterial small subunit ribosomal RNA", at positions 28 to 507 of the family's 1533-position model. The record is from RNAcentral.
GAUGAACGCUGGCGGCGUGCCUAAUACAUGCAAGUCGAGCGAACAGACGAGGAGCUUGCUCCUCUGACGUUAGCGGCGGACGGGUGAGUAACACGUGGAUAACCUACCUAUAAGACUGGGAUUACUUCGGGAAACCGGAGCUAAUACCGGAUAAUAUAUUGAACCGCAUGGUUCAAUAGUGAAAGACGGUUUUGCUGUCACUUAUAGAUGGAUCCGCGCCGCAUUAGCUAGUUGGUAAGGUAACGGCUUACCAAGGCAACGAUGCGUAGCCGACCUGAGAGGGUGAUCGGCCACACUGUAACUGAGACACGGUCCAGACUCCUACGGGAGGCAGCAGUAGGGAAUCUUCCGCAAUGGGCGAAAGCCUGACGGAGCAACGCCGCGUGAGUGAUGAAGGUCUUCGGAUCGUAAAACUCUGUUAUUAGGGAAGAACAAAUGUGUAAGUAACUAUGCACGUCUUGACGGUACCUAAUCAGAAAGCCACGGCUAACUACGUG